GGCGCUUUGGCGGAGUGGUUAACGCGCGGGCCUGCUAAGCCCGUUCCUUCGGGAGCGCAGGUUCGAAUCCUGCAGGCGUCG
This 81-nucleotide transfer RNA is filed under the name Periconia macrospinosa. It matches the Rfam family "tRNA". From Rfam's summary of the family: Transfer RNA (tRNA) molecules are approximately 80 nucleotides in length. Their secondary structure includes four short double-helical elements and three loops (D, anti-codon, and T loops). Further hydrogen bonds mediate the characteristic L-shaped molecular structure. tRNAs have two regions of fundamental functional importance: the anti-codon, which is responsible for specific mRNA codon recognition, and the 3' end, to which the tRNAs corresponding amino acid is attached (by aminoacyl-tRNA synthetases). tRNAs cope with the degeneracy of the genetic code in two manners: having more than one tRNA (with a specific anti-codon) for a particular amino acid; and 'wobble' base-pairing, i.e. permitting non-standard base-pairing at the 3rd anti-codon position. RNAcentral also lists the same sequence under 1 other name. Lineage: Eukaryota; Fungi; Ascomycota; Dothideomycetes; Pleosporales; Periconiaceae. The record is from Rfam by way of RNAcentral.